Long non-coding RNA from Neofelis nebulosa (Clouded leopard), 297 nucleotides. RefSeq lists it as uncharacterized. Lineage: Eukaryota; Metazoa; Chordata; Mammalia; Carnivora; Felidae. The transcript has 2 exons. The record is from RefSeq and is a predicted model, not a curated record.
GAAGGGAAAGGAAGCGAUUGUACGCUCUGAAUUGAGCAUUGCAUGUCUUUAAUCCUCAGAGCAAACUCCAGUUCACAGACAGAAACUUCGGAGAGGUUCAGUACCUUCCUUCAAACCACACAGGCCUGAUCCCGGGACCGUCUAGCCCUGGCCCAUGUUCCUUAUCUACUUGCCGACUACCUGACUCCAACUUCCCUGAGGGUAGAGACCAUGUCAAUCCUGUUUACUUGUCUUUCCAGUGCCAGGAAUAUACUAGAAGGCUUUCAGUAAAUGUAGAAUAAAUGAAUGGUUAAUGGG